Molecule: ribosomal RNA, 254 nt
Filed under: uncultured bacterium
Lineage: Bacteria
Description: partial 16S ribosomal RNA
Rfam family: Bacterial small subunit ribosomal RNA
Source: RNAcentral
UACGGGGGGAGCAAGCGUUGUUCGGAUUUACUGGGCGUAAAGGGCGCGUAGGCGGUCGUGACAAGUCACUUGUGAAAUCUCCGGGCUUAACUCGGAACGGUCAAGUGAUACUGUCGGACUAGAGUACAGAAGGGGCAACUGGAAUUCUCGGUGUAGCGGUGAAAUGCGUAGAUAUCAGGAGGAACACCAAUGGCGAAGGCAGCUCUCUGGUACAUGAUUGACGCUGAGACGCGAAAGCGUGGGGAGCGAACAGG